This 92-nucleotide transfer RNA is filed under the name Metapseudomonas otitidis. Its description in RNAcentral is "Pseudomonas otitidis tRNA-Asp". Lineage: Bacteria; Pseudomonadati; Pseudomonadota; Gammaproteobacteria; Pseudomonadales; Pseudomonadaceae. The record is from RNAcentral.
CGCCUUUGGUGACGUUGCCGUGGGGGUCCUUGUCGUGGACUUCCCAGAUGGAGCUCCAGCUGCCGACGUCGUUCCAGCCGGCGGAGAGCGGC